This 217-nucleotide small nuclear RNA is filed under the name Cervus hanglu yarkandensis (Yarkand deer). RNAcentral's name for it is "U4 spliceosomal RNA (ENSCHYG00000020179.1)". The stretch from base 1 to 129 matches the Rfam family "U4 spliceosomal RNA". Rfam says of the family: U4 small nuclear RNA (U4 snRNA) is a component of the major U2-dependent spliceosome. Lineage: Eukaryota; Metazoa; Chordata; Mammalia; Artiodactyla; Cervidae. The record is from RNAcentral.
AGCUUUGAGGAGUGGCAGUAUCAUAGCCAAUGAGGUUUAUCCGAGGUGCAAUUAUUGCUAAUUGAAAAAAAUGUUACUUUGGCUGUUUUGGUGCUAAACUAUUAGAGUGAAGAACAAGGACUCAGGUCAACUUUCUUUACAGGAAUUUGAAAUAUUGUGAUGUGACCUGUAAUAUCUGUAUUUUUCAAAACACAAAUUUUUAGAUUUUUCAAUAAAA